CAAGGUGCGCUGAUGUCCCUCUUGCCGGGAACAGGGAAUGCCUAGGUGGUCUUGCACAUCAGAUUUUGAGGAGAAAGGGAAAAUGGGGCUCAGGGCUUUGAGAGACUUGUUAUAAAACACAGAAUUAUUUAGACUAACUAUAUUGUCAAAUAUAAACAAUUGGCCUUGCAGUGAGAAUGUGCUGAUGAUCGUGUAGUCCUGUAUUUAAUGACAUCCCAAGGACUGCCUGCCCCACUAUGAGAAUAGAAAAAAUAAUUCAACAAACAGCAAGAAACUUUUGCAUACAACCCAGCAUAUAUAUAAAUAGAGGCCAACUUACUGGAGUCAAAGUGUACAAGUGGAUACUUCAAACAGUCGAUCUCCUUUGUUUUCAGAGGUCAGAGCAGACUGGACACAGACUUGUUGUAGAGACAGCCUCCCUUAUUGAGAGAUUGCAUAAGGUGUGCUCAAGAAGGAAAGGUCAGCCACCAAAUGGAGCAGGAAUCUCUUAGCAACCUGGCAGAGAGCUUGCUGUGUUCUCAGCUUCCAGAAAUGUGUGUUCCCACAGGUCUUUGUCUCUUUGUGUCCCAGUGGUGGCACCUGAGCAAGAUCAGAUGCUCUUCUUAGGGACAGGAAGUCUCCCUGGCAAACUGCCUGUCCAUGUAUGGCUGAAAUGAUCUUGGGACUUCUUGGGGUAUAGAAGUGUCUCAUCAGAAGGAGUUGUGUGGACCACACCUUGCUGUCUUGUAAGCACAGGAUGAUCUUGGACUUGGAGUUCCCCUGGCAGCCUUUCAGACAGCAUGUAAGGGUUCCUGAACCACCAUGACUCUCCCUAAUGAUGCUUCCAGCAUUUGUGAUGCUUUAGAUGUCUGUGGAUAAACAAUAUGAACUGUAGAGGGAUGUUGUCCUGUAUUAUGUCAGGACAAUAUAGAUACAGCAUGUUUUACAGCUUCCAGCGAGAGCAGGGAGGAAGCAGCUGAUGAAGCUGAGGAAAAGCUGCAGUAGCUGAGAGCAAACCACUUUAACUGGUGGUGAGGAACCAUUCGUCUUCUCCUAGCGCUGUGAGCAGGAAAAAAAGGAUCUCCGAUUUCAAGAUUAGUGACAAAUUUGUGUGAGUUGGCAAUUCUUCGAAAAUGAAAUUUAUUAAACUUGAAAUAAAGCGUUCACCCCUGAAUGAACA
Molecule: long non-coding RNA, 1159 nt
Filed under: Numida meleagris (helmeted guineafowl)
Lineage: Eukaryota; Metazoa; Chordata; Aves; Galliformes; Numididae
Description: lncRNA (ENSNMEG00000018496.1)
Source: RNAcentral